GAGUUUGAUCCUGGCUCAGAGCGAACGCUGGCGGCAGGCCUAACACAUGCAAGUCGAACGAACUCUUCGGAGUUAGUGGCGGACGGGUGAGUAACACGUGGGAACGUGCCUUUAGGUUCGGAAUAACUCAGGGAAACUUGUGCUAAUACCGAAUGUGCCCUUCGGGGAAAGAUUAUCGCCUUUAGAGCGGCCCGGCGUCUGAUUAGCUAGUUGGUGGGUAAAGGCCACCAAGGCUACGAUCAGUAGCUGGUCUGAGAGGAUGA
This 263-nucleotide ribosomal RNA is filed under the name uncultured Alphaproteobacteria bacterium. RNAcentral's name for it is "partial 16S ribosomal RNA". It matches the Rfam family "Bacterial small subunit ribosomal RNA", at positions 9 to 303 of the family's 1533-position model. The record is from RNAcentral. Lineage: Bacteria; Pseudomonadati; Pseudomonadota; Alphaproteobacteria.